AAACCCCCCAGAAAUUAAAGGGAAUCUUUUUAAUGGCAUUUUGGAUCAGGCCCUGAGAUCCCUGCAGGGACUGAGGAGGGUGGGGGGGCAGGAUUUACAUUUCAUGGCUUUUAAGGAAUCUGAAGUACGGCAGAGAACAGAGCUUUCCAAGGCCAAGUUUCCCAAAUCUAUGUGGAUAUAUGACAGAGUGUGUAUGCGAUUAAGUUUAAAGCCCUCUCUAACAGCAAGCAAGCACAUUCCCUUUCCUGCACCCUGAACCCCACUUCUCCAAUUUUAAAACAAAAAUGCGUUGCCAAAACCUUGGGAACCGACAGGGAUGGGGAAGGAAUUAGUCUUAGCUCUCCCAGCCACUUGGGGCUGUUGCACUGAGACAUUAGAGACUACGAAAACGAGCCCCAGAGUGAACCAAAUAAGACGUAGCUCUUUACAUUUUUUUUCUCCUUUUUUUUUUUUUUCUCCCUCCCUCUCUUCCUCCCCUAAAACAUAAGUAUUUCCAGAAUCACUGAUGAAAGCCAUUUGAUAUGUAGGAAGAGAUGUGCCGUCUGCAGCGCGACUCAGUGUUUGCAGAGUGGGAUGAACAGAUUUUCCUUUCCAUAGGGUUUCCUCCUGCAAAGUCAUUGUAGAGGAGGGAAUAUCGUAAGAUUAAAUCUGUUUCAAAAACUAUAUUCAUGUCACACCAGAUACAGUCUCCAGACUGCACGCAGUCUUUCAGCUCUCUUCAUUGUGAAAUCCUUUUAAAACAACACCGCGUGGAGCAGAAAACGUAUUCCAGCAUAGCUCUCACCCCAGCUCAGCCAGAUGAAAUAAAGGGCAGUUAUCAGCCCUUUGGAAUUAACUGAUCUGCUCCGUGUCUCUGGCUGCUGUAGCACUGUCUCGCUUUCUGAGACUCUUUCCUUAUUAAUAAGCUGAUAGUUCAGUGGAGCUGCUAAUGGAUCGAUGCCCCUGGGGGAGCAGGCGGUCCCCUCUGCCGGGUGCUGUGACACCACCAGGAUGGAGCUGGAGCUGUCUAUGGGAAAUGGAUGUGCGUGUGUGUGUAGGAGCAGGGAGAGCAAGUUAACCAAAGGGACACAGCAGAAUUCCCGUAUUUAGGAAAGGCAGAUCGGCUCGCUGCCUGACCUCAUUUAGCAUACAGAGAUUUGCUCCGUGUGUGUUGAAUUGUUUUUUCUUUAUUUAAAUUGGAUUUUAAAUAUAUGUUGACAGUAGGAAUUGGUACAGCGUGAGCAACUGCGGGAGCAGUGACAGCUCUGCUUUUGUUACUGAACGACUUGUCUGGGAAAUAAGGGAAUGUGUACACAAACGGAUUCUUAUUUUGCCAAUGACAUUAGCACAGCUGAUAAUAACCAUGAAGAGAACGAUGCCGAAAGCGGCGUGCUUUCAGGUCAUAGGAGGUACUGCUCACCGGUGAGGCAAAGAGAUGUUUUUAAGGUAACUUCUUGGUGAGAUUCUCCUGCUAUUCAUGCAAAGGAGAGGCCAGAUGUGCGAGGAGCGUUUCACUUUAAGCUGUGCUAAUUUUCUUCUUCUUACAGCUAACGAGCAGCGCAAGCAACUGUCUGAGUUAAAUACAGGAUUUGAAUAUAAGAGGCCCUAUUUGUACAGUAGUGGCACAACAGACAUGUUUUACAAUGCUAAGAAUUCCUUUUAAUAACAGCAUAUUUUAAUGUAUUUACUAAAUUAGGUACCCGAGAGAAUCUUCUACAACGGUGAUGUGAAAAUCCCUGUUACCUGAGGUCAGAACAAAAGUCUCCCAGAAGACCUGGAGUGGUGACGUCUGGACUGAGAAGAGAUCACACUGCUUAUAAAUCUGCACCAUGAGGAGGCCAAAAGUUUCUUCAGCAGCAGGAGGUAAGCCAGGACUGCUGGCGGGUAUGAGGACCAGAGAGCAAUGUUCCAUACAUUCAAGAAGAAGAAAGUGGUGCUUUUGAGGAAUAGACUUUGAAUCAGCAUCACAGUCCUCCAGAGAAAGCCCAAAGAGCUCUUCAGGUGGGAGCACACCACCCAGCCAGCUGCUUGUUGGGUUUAGCCCAUGGACAUCUGGGGUCUGCACACCAGAGACUGAGAACUCUUGACUUAUCCUAAAUUUCCUCUUUGUGGACUUCUGAUGUGACAGGAAUGGCACCAAAAAUUCAAUGUACCUGCUUUGCCAUAACUUUUCCAUACUGCUGACUUUCCCAGGACUACAUUCCGUUCAAAUUACGGGAACUUAAUUACGUGAGGCUUAAUUUCAGUUGCUUGGCCAGCUUUAAAAAUAUAUAUUCAAAUUUGGACCUCGGGGGCAGAAUCUGGGGAGCCUCUUUGUCCUUUUGCUUUGUGUUAACGUAAGUGAAGAAACUAUGCCUGUGAAUCUCUGCUUUAUUACACCUAUUCCAAGUCAGUCUCACUUCUGCUGAGACUUCCCAGACUUUCAGCAAUGCAAGAGGGGGCAUGAAAUACCCCUAAUAUUAUAGUCUAUGCUUCUGAAACAGUCAAACAAAAGAUAUUUGUCUCCUGCUUACGUGUUUUCUUGUAAAUAAAACGCGUUGAGACCAGA
Molecule: long non-coding RNA, 2527 nt
Organism: Centrocercus urophasianus (Greater sage-grouse)
Lineage: Eukaryota; Metazoa; Chordata; Aves; Galliformes; Phasianidae
Exons: 2
Source: RefSeq, a predicted model, not a curated record